This is a non-coding RNA of Misgurnus anguillicaudatus (oriental weatherfish), 5393 nucleotides long. The record is from RefSeq and is a predicted model, not a curated record. NCBI's taxonomy places the organism in Eukaryota, Metazoa, Chordata, Actinopteri, Cypriniformes, Cobitidae.
GGCUCGUGCAGUAGCUAAUGGUGCUGAGGCAAAUACGCACGAGCGCAUCACGGCCGUACGGCAACACCCGCGCAUGCAUACGCCCGCAACCCUGCGCACUACGUUCUUUGGCGAAUCUACAGCAUAUGCUAUAUCGACUUCUCUGAAGUACACAUCCUUGCCGAAACCCGUUUCUCUUUAAAUUCGCCUGGCAUAAACGCGUUAGCAUUGGUGGGUGAAGAUUGAGAUGAUGGCUCAUCGGUGCGCGUCUUAAUGAGGAUCCAAAGGCGUUUGUGACAUUGGGCAUUAGAAACGUCCCUGGGUAACAAUGAGCACUGCAUUUCAUCAGAAGGCUGUUCACAGUCCACUGGACAAGCAGAAGGGCUCACGGCAGAGCGGCCCCGUCCCAUGUCAAAACUGUGGCAAGUCCUGCAAAGGCGAAGUGUUGAGAGUGCAGAACAAACACUUCCACAUUAAGUGCUUUGUUUGCAAAGUUUGCGGUUGUGACUUGGCUCAGGGAGGCUUUUUCGUGCGACAGGGCGAAUAUAUCUGCACUCAGGAUUAUCAGCGCCUUUAUGGGACACGCUGCUUCAGUUGCGAAGAGUUUAUUGAGGGAGAAGUUGUAUCUGCCCUGGGCAAGACUUACCACCCUCGCUGCUUUGUCUGUGCCAGUUGCAAACAGCCGUUUCCAGCCGGUGGCCGCGUGACGUUUAAUGGGAAGGAGUGCAUUUGUGAGAACUGCUCUCAGCCUGUGCCAGUCAACAGCACGGCAACACCACAGGCUGUGCACAAUUGCUGUGGGUGUGGAAAGGAGUUUAAAAAUGAACAGUCUCUGGUGGCAUUGGACAAGCACUGGCACCUUGGCUGCUUCAAAUGCAAAGUGUGCAAUAAAGUGCUUAAUGCAGAGUAUAUCAGCAAGGACGGUAUCCCUUACUGUGAGACAGAUUACCAUGCCAUGUUCGGCAUCCAGUGUGAUACCUGCAAGAAAUACAUCACCGGGAAAGUACUUGAGGCUGGAGAAAAGCACUAUCAUCCCACAUGUGCCAGAUGUGCACGCUGUGAUCAGAUGUUUGGCGAGGGAGAGGAGAUGUACCUGCAGGGUUCUUCCAUCUGGCAUCCUCCUUGCAGACAGGCAGCACGUAUGGAGGAGAAAAGCAAGAAACAUGUGCGGAUUCAGCUCAGUGACCAACAAUCGAAUGUACCUGAGCAGGUGACCCGAACUUCCUCAGAGAGCAUCACAUCUGCUCCUGCCUCCAGCACAUCAGGAUCCCCAAGCAGAAUUAUCUAUGCAAAACUUGGUGAUGAACUUUUGGACUACAAGGACCUGGCCGCUCUUCCUAAAAUCAAAGCAAUUUACAACAUUGACAGGCCAGACAUGCUCUCAUACUCCCCCUAUGUGAGCUACCCUGUGGAGGACAGGACCUUCGGGGAGUCACCCCAGCAGCUUACCCCUACACCAACUGAGGGAGAGGGGGAAAGGUCUCCCCGUCAGAGAAGACCCUCCAGCCCGAGUUCCAACAGUUCUUUAGGAGGUUAUGGCCGAUAUACCCCUUCUCGUUCACCACAGACCUACAGCAGACCAGAUUAUUCCAACACGCUACAUGUACCGACUUCAGGUAGGAGUAGCGCCCUUGGCAUUGCCAGAGACUCCUCCCCUCUGCCUUCAUACAGUGACAGUGGUAGAAACACUCCACAGCCGGGGUGCAGUGGUGUGGCCCUGCCCCUCAACCCCACCACCCUGGCUUUGCUCCAGCAACACAACUACAUCCCUUAUUUCAAAGGUAGUGAAAGUGGGCGGAGCACCCCCAGUCUCUCCACCUAUUCUGAUGGCAAAUCUCCCUCCACUGCAUAUGUGGCUGCCCCACGGCAUUUUCAUAUCCCAGAGGCUAAAGUCAAAGAUAAUAUCUAUAGAAAGCCCCCUAUCUACAAACAGCAUGCUUCCAGAACCUCCUGGCAAGAUGGAGAGGAUGCAGACAGAAAGACCAGAACGAGUUGGAUGAAUCUGAAGGGAGAGACUGAUGGACAGUCUCCAGAAUUGGACCCAAGGACUUCUACCCACAGUUUGCCCACUGAUAUGUCUCAACCCAACUUUCCAUACAGCAAGUCUGCUUCAUUACCAGGAUACGGUCGGAACGGCAUAUUUAAGGCAGCAGAUCUUGUUAAGGAUGAUGAAGAUCAGGACUCUUCCUGGGGUGGAAUGAGAGGUGAGUUACAGCAGAUUGCGUUACAUUUGUAUUGCAUACUUUGUAAUGAUUUACUAUCUUUCUUUCUCUUUUUUUGUUGUUUUUCUCAACUCCGUUCUUCUUUCAUCCCGUUCCUUCUCAGAGUAUAAGGUUUACCCCUAUGAAAUGCUAGCUGUGACUCACAGAGUCCGAGUAAAACUACCACGUGAUGUGGACCGCACCAGACUGGAGAGGCACCUGUCACCAGAGGACUUCUACAGCGUGUUUGGGAUGACCAUUGAACAGUUUGACCGUUUGGCCCUGUGGAAGAAAAAUGACUUGAAGAAGAAAGCUCGCUUGUUUUAAACGUGUCAAAUUCCUUGAGGGAAUGAAAGAAAACCUCAUCCUGCACGUCCUGUGUGCGUGGAAGGAUGAAUGUGAGAGGAAUAUAUAUGCACCUCCAUUCUGCUGCAUAGCUGUCAUCCUAUCUCACGCCGAGUAAGAGGGAGUGUGUCGAAAAAUGCUUUCACAAUGCUGACGAUGUUUGCAACCUAGCUUCGUGUGUGAACGCCUCACCACAUCAUCUGAAUGUCAAAGAGACUCGAGAACUGAACUGAAUUCUCAACGGCUAUCCUGGUUUCUCCUCUUCGGUUGUCUUGUUAGUCGUCUUCCCUGCGCUGUUUUUUUUUUUUUUGCACUCGAUAUUGAUACAAGCCCCUUUCUUUACAUUUUAUACUGCUGAUAAACGUGCCCCAUCAAUUAUGUCUUCAUAUAAUGCAGUCAUGCUGUGUGUCUCAUUGUCAUUUGGCUGUUAUGAAUGUUAUUCAAAAGGUCCUGUCUUAUGGUGGGAAUUUAUUAGGAAUACAUAGCAUCUGCUGAUAAUGCCAUGUGCCAAUUGUGUGAUGCCAUGUGUGUGAUAAUGAUAAUGACAAUUUCCAUGUGCUCUUUGCAUUGUUUUGCCACCUGAUUCACUAUAGCGAUUAUCCAAAAAUGCUAAACAUAGCCAAAAAAAAAAUCCUAUACAUAGUUUGCAGGUCACAAUUCUCAUUGGGCUGGUUGCAAGGUGGUUUUAAGUACUAGCUUGAUGAUGAUGUUACUACAAUUCACGCAUCUAAGGUGGCUUUAUAAAAUUCGGAAAGCUUGCUUGUCAACUUCAGCGUUGAUCAUUAUAAAACAUUAUAACACCGUAACUGCUCCUGUUUUGUGAAUGAACCAUCUAUAACAUGCUAUAAAAAGAUCUUAUUCAAAUACACUGCGAUGCUAUUCCAGCGUGUUUAGUGCUCGAUUUAACUGGAUUGCGAGUGUUUAGUGGAUAUCAUGCACGUUUUUGUGCUGAAACACGGCAAGCUUAAGUGGCACAGUUCAUAUACUGUUUGCUCAGUCUCUUUCUCCUAGACAUGACACUCGGCCACUGCUUGGACUGUAAUAUCAAUCAUGUCAUUUCUUUAUGGAAGCUUAUUCAUGGCUUUAGCAUGACCAGGCCAAAGACUCAGUCACAGAAAGGAGUCAACUAUCUUUAGUUGAUGCUUUUAAUAAUCCUCACUGUUGUUGUGAGUGCUGAUCGCUGGAACAAGCUUUGUGUUUGUUUUUUCAGGUCAGUGUGAGAUUCAUCAUUAUGUUUAUGACCUCAAUAAGGCUUUAGUUGUUAUUUGUCCUUUAUACAGUGUGCAUAGUAUGGAUAGUCAAGGUAAUGUCAUUAUUAUCAGUGAUCAAAUACAUCAGGCUUUGAACGUUGCAUUGCCCACUGUUAUUUUUCAAAGUGCUCACAGCAAAGCAAAUCCUUCCAAAUGUUUUUUUUACUCGCUAUUUAAAAAUAAUUUCAGCAUUGACUUUAGCAUGGAGCUAUACCAUGCACCAAAGGUAACACAUUCUGUAGCAAUUAGCAAUGCUGAAUAGACUUAACAAAGCAUGCAUUUAUUUAAAACCCAAAUAUGAUUUUUUGUUUCUAAACUGUGUGUGUGCAGUAAAAUAAAUGUCUGUUGCUCUGAUAUUGUCACCUAGGCAUGCACUGCAUAUAGUAGAAGUGUCGUGUCAUGGCUUCAAAUGGAAUUGAACGAGUGUAAUCAUGUGUUUGUAUAAUUUGUUGAGAUCUUAAGGAUAUUGAGAGACUAAAAUCAGUGUUUGCUUAUUUAGGAACAUUCUUAGGUUCCUCUCUACCAAGUCUGUUUUUCUGUUGUUCCUGAUAUUGGCUCUAUUGCUAAUGGCUCAAUUUGGGGAGGUAAACAUAAAGUGUUUUUUCGUUAAUUAUUUGAAUAUAUUAAUUUCAUAGAAAACUUGUUUUGACUAAUGAAAACCAUGUACAACAUGUGCCUAUAUCUAUAUCUGCAAUAUCUUUUUUGACCGAACUGGGAAACUCGCUAUCGGAUUGUUUUACUACUUGUGAAAGUACAGCAUUUUAAACCUGCUUAUGUGCAUAUGUGCAUUUUUCAUCCUUAGGGCCAUGAUGUCAACAUUUGCAGUUCAAUUUGCCAUCCCAAAAUCUAUUGUUGUGGGACACGUACAGUAAAGCCUGAAUGUGUUUUGGUCUGUAUGCGGUGAAUGUGUCUGAAUGCGUAGGAGGAAACCUUCCCAAUGUUGAGCUGUGGAGGACGAAUGUGUUAGUCUUAUUUAAACAGCUGGAGAAACAGGAACGCAUGUGGGUGUGUGGUAUUAGCUGUCAGUUCAGCGGUCCAAUAGUUCAAACUAGGUGAGUUCAGAUCAGCUUGUUUUCCGUCACCUUAUUCAUUAUAUAACACAGCAUUAUUCUAACCUUAAAAGCAGACCUAAGUCAUGAUUAAAUAAGCUAGGGCUUAACUGCAUCUCUGCAUUGGUUCAUUUUUAUGUAUUUCAAGAAAUCCUGUUUUUCUUUGUCAUGCGAAUCUCUUUGUGUAGACAAAUUAUUACUGUGACCCCAGAAAUCUCUGACCCGACAGUUAUGAAAGCUGCUUAUUAUUUCUAUUACAUAUGAAGAGAUGUGCCUGGGUCUGCAUUCAUACAAAUGUUUUAUUUUUUUCAUCUGGAAUGUUUUAGACGUUUUUGAAGCUGUAUUUGUGGUCACCCAAUAAGUAAUUUCGUUGGGUUUCCCUUCCCAUGGGUGUGCUUGAUUUUGUGUUGGUAUGCAAACUAUAACUGUGAUUAUGUGAUUCUGACUGUGCAAAGUACUGAAUGAAUUUUGGGAAAAAAUGUAAAUGCAGCCUUUCACUCACAAUGUCUUUGAGUUGCUUUGCAAAAAUAUUGAUAAUCAUCUCAAUAAAUAUAACUACUUCAACUUAA